CAAGGAUAAAAUUUAAAAAUAAUAUGAUGUUUUUAUUAACCAAGUAAAAAAAUUACAAUCCCGUUUAGUCACGAAGGACGUACGCGGGUACAGAGCUAAAAGCAUGUCUAGGGAUCCGGGUUUCGAGGGAGGGUAGCGAUCGAGCACUUGAGCACGAGCUGAGAAGAAAUGCGGGGAGAACAAUAGGCUAGAGGUAACCAGGAGCUGGUGCUGCGUCAUCCCUGGUGUCUGAGUUUGUCUUCACCGACGCGGUAACGAGGUACACGUCAAGCAAAGAGCUCAUCUUUCCGCGACCUGUCACGAAAACCGACCACCCACAAUUUUUUCCAAGCACGAUCGCAUUAUCUCACAGAAUUUUCGUUGUCAAUGAGUUCUAAGAUAAUCUGCAUCACACAGCUAGUUAAUUAAAAAUAAAUCACGUCAUGGAUCGAAUACACUUAACUCUACACAAACACUUCACUCAUGGUGUCUUUCCAUGCACGUGAUUGGUGAAGAAAAAUUGCUAGUUUCCUACAUAAAAUCAGAGAUGGCACUUUGACACGUGUUCGAAAGAAGCACGUGUGGUGUAAAAUAUAGUGAAUUGCUGCUUGAUCUUUCCGCGUCGUUUCGCACCGCGCAAACGACCGUAGACACUCGGCCAAUACAUACUUAUCAAAUGCAGGCGGCAUAGUCAGUACAAAACGAUAUGUACGAAUGAGAAAAGGACAAUACGGCAAAUCACGCAAGACCAAGCGAGAUAAGAGAGAAGAACGAAAUGGGUGCCUGUACCCAUGUACGAAUAUACAUAAAUGUGUGCGCGUGCGCGUUUGCAUGUACACAUUCACAGAGCAUCCAACGUAUGUCACGACAUUACAUGGGUUGCUGCGUUUUUACGUUGCCGGAGAGCAAUGCGUACACCAUGGCGGAAGUGCGUAAGAGAACGCCGACUGCCAGAGGAAAGAAAAUAGAAAGAAUAGGGAAGAGAAGAAGAGCAGAGAAGAAAGAAAAGAAAAAGCUAAAGAAGGGAGAGAGAACGAAGGCAGAAGAGAACUCGGAUGUGCCGUGGAGCAGAGUCGUGUGAGCCGCAUAGAUCGCACGAGUGUAUUGGAAUCUGUAUUCGCCGACAUAAACGCAUCAGCUUUAUCGACGAGAGAACAACGCUUGAUAUUUUGUGAAAAAAUCGUAUCCAUUUCUCUGCUGUUAUAAAAAGGGACAAGAAUAUGAUAUAUUUGCAAAAGGAUAUCAAAUUUUGAACGAUUUGAAAAACAAGGAUUUAAAAAGAAGAGUGAGUGAGACGAGUAUCGUCCGAGCGAAUCCAAGUAGAGGCAGUAGGAAAUGGGAACUCGUAUACCCGUAUGGAAAGUACAGAGUGAACGCAUUACACGCAAGCGACGACUCGUACUCGAUGAAGAUGUAAGGGCCGCAUUGUGUCCUGCAUCGUCGAGAGAACUCGAGAAUAAAGAGAGAGAAAGAGAAAGUAGUACACAUCAUGCAGAGGAAGAGAGAAAGAGAGGGAGAGAGAGAGAGAGAGAGAGAGAGAGAGGCCGGGAACCUCUAACUACUAACGUGGGGUAGAUCUCGCCGCGGAUAGUGCUUUAUUUCAUCAAAGGGACAACAAGGAAGCCGAGAUAACGCCGCAAGCUUCACAGAAAGGAGCACUUCGGAGUGGAGGAGUAUGCGCGGCACGCACAACGGCUCGAUCAUCCAUAAUCGCGUGCAGACGCAAUAACCAGGCUCGAGAUGCAUCCUCUGCGAAAUUUCUCAAAGAGAAACGCGAUGUUUCAUCGAUAGAGGGAUGAACGAGUUGAAGAAGCGUAUAGUGUGAGAAGAUUGAAAGACUUGUUUACACUUACUCAUGCGGGUUAUCGGAAGUAUCGACUUGGAUCAUCAUACGAUCAGAGGAUUUUAUGCGGGCAAUGCAAAUUAAAUGGGUCGUGCAAAAUACGAUACUCUUUCCAUUGUGGCGUUUGUCCAUAAAUAGAUAUCUUUUAUCAUCAACGUCAGCUAAGAUCGUAUCGAUUGCCAAAGUUUGCCUGACUAAAGAGAUCGAGCGUCUCCAUUUCCGAUGAAACGGUUCUACAAUAUGGGUUCCAGAUUUCAGGGUGACGAUAGAGAGUUAGAGAGAGAGAGAGAGAGAAGGAAAGAGAACAAGAGCGUUGCUCGCUAUUGUUUUCUCGAGUGGGUACUCGCUGGUUCAAUGCUCGCCCGCUCUGGUAGACCGGUACCAGAUGUACCCGGACCGCCUGGUUUCAACUUUGAUACCGUACAACGCCAUGCGUCACGGUUACAGCACCUACCUAUCUAGCUUUCCAAAAAUUUUUUUUAUUCUUAUUCAAUAUCAAAAAUAACACCUUACCGUUUGAUAAAAAUUGAACUUUUUGUUUUAGAAAGGAUCGAUCGAGAGGAUUUUUGGAAAAUGUGAAGAUACGAAAAAAAUUCGCGGAAGAGAAUAUCGCGAAUUAAUUAAAUUAUAUUUCUAUACUUUUUUUUUUCUUUUUUUUUUUUUUUUUAUGUUCAAGUGAAUACAAUAAAAAAGUUUCCACGUGUGAUGUGCAAGUUAGUGUAUAAUGAAAAGGAUUUAUAUAUUCCUUUCGAUUGGUUGUACACGAACGAUAUGUAUACACGACGGAUAUCCGAUGAAACUGAAGUCAUGACAACAAGGCUAUAAAAUAAGGUUAAAAUUUUUUUUAACAAAAUGAGAUUAUUCAUCGUAUUGUACGUGACGAAAUCUAAUCAGGAAUGAAUAACGUUUGAAUUAAUAUUCCAUAUUAAACAACAAUUGGAUUGGAUAUAUAACCAAUGAUGUUGUAAUAUGAGAAUAUAUAAUUAAAACUGACUACGCCGAGAAUAGAUGAAUAAUCUUCACAAAGUUUAAAAUUUUUUUAUGUGAACUAAAUUGCAUUGGCUAACAAUAAUGAUACAAGAAAACAUUUAACAUGAUUACUUGAGUUUUGAUUGUACAAUUCAAUUUAUGUUAACAAAUCGCGUUCGCUUAAAGAUUGUUCCUUAUAUUUCUAUCUGAAUUUUUAUAGCCAAGGUGCAAUCUUCAGCGAUGGUUGUUAUCAUACAGUUCCUUCCUUGUGAAUAACAUGUAUAUUCACAUUAAAGUUCAUAUAAAAUUAUACUUGAUACUGCUUAUGUUCCUAAGUUAUGAAUAAUAAUUGCCAUCAUAGAUCAUAUUAUGCAUCUAUAAUAUCUAAAAAAAAAAAAGAAAAA
Apis mellifera (honey bee) is the source of this 3195-nucleotide long non-coding RNA. RefSeq lists it as uncharacterized. The transcript has 7 exons. The record is from RefSeq and is a predicted model, not a curated record. NCBI's taxonomy places the organism in Eukaryota, Metazoa, Arthropoda, Insecta, Hymenoptera, Apidae.